This 492-nucleotide ribosomal RNA is filed under the name uncultured bacterium. RNAcentral's name for it is "partial 16S ribosomal RNA". It matches the Rfam family "Bacterial small subunit ribosomal RNA", at positions 29 to 507 of the family's 1533-position model. The record is from RNAcentral.
AGUGAACGCUGGCGGUAGGCCUAACACAUGCAAGUCGAACGGCAGCACAGUAAGAGCUUGCUCUUACGGGUGGCGAGUGGCGGACGGGUGAGGAAUACAUCGGAAUCUACUUUUUCGUGGGGGAUAACGUAGGGAAACUUACGCUAAUACCGCAUACGACCUACGGGUGAAAGCAGGGGAUCUUCGGACCUUGCGCGAUUGAAUGAGCCGAUGUCGGAUUAGCUAGUUGGCGGGGUAAAGGCCCACCAAGGCGACGAUCCGUAGCUGGUCUGAGAGGAUGAUCAACCACACUGGAACUGAGACACGGUCCAGACUCCUACGGGAGGCAGCAGUGGGGAAUAUUGGACAAUGGGCGCAAGCCUGAUCCAGCCAUACCGCGUGGGUGAAGAAGGCCUUCGGGUUGUAAAGCCCUUUUGUUGGGAAAGAAAAGCAGCAGGCUAAUACCCCGCUGUUCUGACGGUACCCAAAGAAUAAGCACCGGCUAACUUCGUG